AGUGAACGCUGGCGGUAGGCCUAACACAUGCAAGUCGAACGGCAGCACAGUAAGAGCUUGCUCUUACGGGUGGCGAGUGGCGGACGGGUGAGGAAUACAUCGGAAUCUACUUUUUCGUGGGGGAUAACGUAGGGAAACUUACGCUAAUACCGCAUACGACCUACGGGUGAAAGCAGGGGAUCUUCGGACCUUGCGCGAUUGAAUGAGCCGAUGUCGGAUUAGCUAGUUGGCGGGGUAAAGGCCCACCAAGGCGACGAUCCGUAGCUGGUCUGAGAGGAUGAUCAGCAACACUGGAACGGAGACACGGUCCAGACUCCUACGGGAGGCAGCAGUGGGGAAUAUUGGACAAUGGGGGAAAGCCUGAUCCAGCCAUACCGCGUGGGUGAAGAAGGACUUCGGGUUGUAAAGCCCUUUUGUUGGGAAAGAAAAGCAGCAGGUUAAUACCCCGCUGUUCUGACGGUACCCAAAGAAUAAGCACCGGCUAACUUCGUG
This 492-nucleotide ribosomal RNA is filed under the name uncultured bacterium. RNAcentral's name for it is "partial 16S ribosomal RNA". It matches the Rfam family "Bacterial small subunit ribosomal RNA", at positions 29 to 507 of the family's 1533-position model. The record is from RNAcentral.